This 74-nucleotide transfer RNA is filed under the name Enterococcus hirae. RNAcentral describes it as "tRNA-Met(cat)". It matches the Rfam family "tRNA". From Rfam's summary of the family: Transfer RNA (tRNA) molecules are approximately 80 nucleotides in length. Their secondary structure includes four short double-helical elements and three loops (D, anti-codon, and T loops). Lineage: Bacteria; Bacillati; Bacillota; Bacilli; Lactobacillales; Enterococcaceae. The record is from RNAcentral.
GUACCCUUAGCUCAGUUGGUUAGAGCAGACGGCUCAUAACCGUCCGGUCGUGGGUUUGAGUCCUACAGGGUUAC